CCUACGGGUGACAGCAGUGAGGAAUAUUGGUCAAUGGGCGUAAGCCUGAACCAGCCAAGUCGCGUGAGGGAUGAAGGUUCUAUGGAUCGUAAACCUCUUUUAUAAGGGAAUAAAGUGUGGGACGUGUCCUGUUUUGUAUGUACCUUAUGAAUAAGGAUCGGCUAACUCCGUGCCAGCAGCCGCGGUAAUACGGAGGAUCCGAGCGUGAUCCGGAUUUAUUGGGUUUAACGGGUGCGUAGGCGGCCUUUUACGUCAGCGGUGAAAGUCUGUGGCUCAACCAUAGAAUUGCCGUUGAAACUGGGAGGCUUGAGUAUGUUUGAGGCAGGCGGAAUGCGUGGUGUAGCGGUGAAAUGCUUAGAUAUCACGCAGAACCACGAUUGCGAAGGCAGCCUGCCAAGCCAUGACUGACGCUGAUGCACGAAAGCGUGGGGAUCAAACAGGAUUAGAUACCCGAGUAGUC
Molecule: ribosomal RNA, 460 nt
Filed under: uncultured bacterium
Lineage: Bacteria
Description: partial 16S ribosomal RNA
Rfam family: Bacterial small subunit ribosomal RNA
Source: RNAcentral